CUGCUGCCUCCCGUAGGAGUCUGGGCCGUGUCUCAGUCCCAAUGUGGCCGUCCACCCUCUCAGGCCGGCUACUGAUCGUCGGCUUGGUGGGCCAUUACCCCACCAACUACCUAAUCAGACGCGGGUCCAUCUUACACCACCUCAGUUUUUACCACUGUACCAUGCAGUACUGUGGUCUUAUGCGGUAUUAGCAGUCAUUUCUAACUGUUAUCCCCCUGUGUAAGGCAGGUUACCCACGCGUUACUCACCCGUCCGCCG
This 258-nucleotide ribosomal RNA is filed under the name uncultured bacterium. RNAcentral describes it as "partial 16S ribosomal RNA". The record is from RNAcentral.